AAUUAUUAUCCUAAUCUAUGCGAUUUAUCAUAAUCAUAAAAAUAUGAUGCAGCAAAUGAUAAAACACAAUACCUCAUGAAUAAAAUAACUAAUGUCAUGCAAAUGAGUAGAAAAAAAAUAUAGAAAAAUUUCUUCGCAUUAUCCAUGUGAUUGGCUUGUAGGGCACUAUUCUUUCACCAAAGUCACUUGAACUCACUCAAAUUGGUUGAAAGCUCACCAGGAUCCUUAAAGUCUCAGCAG
RNAcentral lists this long non-coding RNA (240 nucleotides) under Elaeis guineensis (African oil palm). Its description in RNAcentral is "long non-coding RNA (EGUI_LNC045228)". Lineage: Eukaryota; Viridiplantae; Streptophyta; Magnoliopsida; Arecales; Arecaceae. The record is from RNAcentral.